Papio anubis (olive baboon) is the source of this 2829-nucleotide long non-coding RNA. The record is from Ensembl. Lineage: Eukaryota; Metazoa; Chordata; Mammalia; Primates; Cercopithecidae.
AUGUGUUUGAACUACGUUAGUCUACUUAUAUGCAGGUUUUCUUCUGCCUCUGCCACUCCUGAAACAGCAAGACCAAGUCCUCCUCUUCCUCUUCCUCCUCAGCCUACUCAAUGUGAAGAGGAUGGGAAUGAAGAACUUCAUGAUGAUCCACUUCCACUUAAUGAACAAAGGGAGAAAACUUCCCCUUCUCCUUUUGCCAUGAGUGGAAGCAUCCUGAGACCCUCACCAGAAGCAGAUGUUGGCACCAUACUUCUUGCACAGCCUGCAGAACUUAUUGAGAAUCUCCAUCGCUCCACAUCCUUGUCAGCCUUUGGUGCUGUAAAUGUUCUGGAUUUUAGCCAUUUUAAUAGGUAUGUCAUGAGAUCUCACUGUUGUUUUAGUUGGCAAUUCCCUGACGACGUAUGAUGUUGAGUAUCUUUUCAUAUGCUUAUUUGCUAUCUACAUGUUUUCUUUGGUGAACUGUCUGUUCAGGUUUUUUUUUUUUUUUUCUCACUUAUUAAUUAAUUGGGUUGCUUACUUUCUUAUUGCUGAGUUUUGUUUUAAUAGUUAUUUCUAUAUUUUAGGUAUAAUGAUUCAUCAGAUAUGUGUUUUGCAAAUAUUUACUUCCAGUCUGUGGCUUAUAUUUUUAUUCUUCUAAGAGUGAUUUUUUGUGAGCAGAAGUUUUUAAUUGUAAUGAAGUAUAACAUCAAUUUUUGCUUUCAUAUGUUGUGCUUUUGGUGUUGUAUCUAAGAAGUCACCACCAAACCAAAGGUCAGCUAGCUUUUAUCUUAUGUUACAUUCUAGAACUUUGUGGUUUCUUGUUCUAAAUUUAGGUCUCUAAUCCAUUUGGGGUUAAUUUUUGUGAAAAGUGUAUGAUCUGUGACUAGAUUCACUUUUUUUUUUUGCAUAUGAAUGUCCAUUUGUUCUAGCACCCUUUAUUGAAAAGACUCUCUUUUCUCUAUUAAAUUGCCUUCACUCUUUUGUCAAAGUUUAAUUGAUUAUAUCUGUGUCUGUCUAUUUCUGGGCUGCUAUUCUGUUCCCUUGAUUUAUUUUUUUAACCUUUUGCCAAUACCGUAUUUUCUUGGUUAUUGUAGUUUCCUUCUUUUUUUAAAAAAAUUUCUAGUUUAACUUGAUUUGUAUAAUUUUCCUCCUCCUAAAUUUAUUAAUACUUAUUUCAUGACUUAACAUAUGAUUUAUCCUGGAGAAUAUCCCAUAUGUGCUUGAAAAGAAUGUAUACUCUUGGUGUUGAUGGGUGUUUAGUCAAGUUGGUUGAUAAUGUUUUUUACGUUUUAUGUAUUCUUGCUGAAUUUUUUUACUAGUUGUUCUAUUAGUUUUUACUUUGUUGCUUAGGCUUGAAACUUAUCUAUCAGUUUUCAAGAGUGAAAUAUUAAAGUUUAUAACUACUAUUGUUGAAUUUUCUAUUUCUACCUUGAAUUCUGCCAGUUUUAGUUUUGUGUAUUUAGGGAUCAGUUAUUAGAUGUUUAUAAUUUUUAUGUAGUACUGCUGAGUUGAUGCUUUUAUCAUCAUAAAAUGUCUCUCCCAUCCAGUAGCAAUUUUUUAAAGUUUAUUUUGUCUUUUAUUAGUAUAACCUCUCCAGCUCCAUUUUGGUUACUGUUUGCAUUAUAUGUCUUUUACUCAUCUUUUUACUUCUAGCUGAUUUGUGUCUUUGAAUCUAAGUUCUCUCUUGUAGGCAGCAUAUAAUUGGAUCAUGUAGUAUUAUCCAUUCAACCUGCCUCUGCCUUUUGGAUUGGAGCAUUUAAUUAUUUACAUUUAAUUUAAUGACUGAUAAGGUGGGAUAUAUGUCUGCCAUUUUACUAUUUGUUUCCUGUGUGUCUUGUGUCUUUUUUGUUCGUCUCUUUCCUCAUGACUGACUUCUCUUGUGUUAAAUAGAUGUCUUCAAUGUUAUCAUUUAAAUUCCCAUGUUGUUCCUUCUACUCUUUUUAAAAAUGUUAUUUCUUAGUGGUUAUCCUCAGGAUUACAACUGCUAUCUUAAAGCAAUCUAGUCUGGAUGAAUACUAACUUAAUUUCAAUAGUACACAGAAAUACAGAAUUUUGCUCCAGUAUCACUCCAUUCCCUCCUUCCUCUUACAUGAUAUUAUUAUACAGAUUACAUCUUUAUACAUUAGACCGUCAAUACAGAUUUAUAUUUAUUCCUUUAUGCACUUGUCUUCUAAUUCAGAGAAGAAAAGCAGUACAAAAAUUAUAAUUUUAUUUGUCUUUCGUUUAAGGCUGAAGGAGCCCCUUUAGGGCAGAUUUGCUGGUUGUAAAUUCUGUAAGCUUUUGUUUACCUUGGAAUACAUUUCUCUCACAGUUUUGAAAAUUGUUUUGUUAGAUAUAGAACUUUUGGUCAGUGGUUGCCCCUUCCCCUAAUACUUCAAGUAUGUCAUCAUGCUACUUUCUGAUCUCCAUAGUUUCUGAUGAAAUGUCAGCAUUAAUAGUUUUGAGAAUUUCUUGUACAUAAUGAUUUAAUUUUCUCUUAUUGCUCUCAAGAGUCUCUCUUUGUGUCCUUCUGCGGUUUGACUAUGAUAUAUUAAUGUGUGUCUUUCUUUGAAUUUUUCUACUUGGGGUUCAUUUGUUUUUUCUAUCAAUGUUGGGAAGAUUUCAGUCAUUAUCUCCUCAACUAUUCUUUCUAUCCCUUCCUCUCCAAUCCUUCUGGUACUCUUACUAUGUGUUUGUAUUUUGUCUUUUAUUAGUAUAACUUCUCCAGCUCUAUUUUGGGUACUGUUUGUAUUAUAUAUCCUUUAUUUGUCUUUUUACUUCUAGCUGAUUUGUAUCCUUUCAUACAAGAUGGAUACAAAGAAUGGAGAGGCUUACUAUUUGAUAGCACAACAAGGUGACUAUAGUCAAUAG